UCCCUGAAGGUCCAGAGGUUAGACUCUGCACUUCCAUGGCAGGGGGCACAGGUUCGAUCCCUGCUCAGGGAA
This 72-nucleotide transfer RNA is filed under the name Bos taurus (domestic cattle). It matches the Rfam family "tRNA". Rfam says of the family: Transfer RNA (tRNA) molecules are approximately 80 nucleotides in length. Their secondary structure includes four short double-helical elements and three loops (D, anti-codon, and T loops). Lineage: Eukaryota; Metazoa; Chordata; Mammalia; Artiodactyla; Bovidae. RNAcentral also lists the same sequence under 5 other names. The record is from Rfam by way of RNAcentral.